This 1467-nucleotide ribosomal RNA is filed under the name uncultured prokaryote. Its description in RNAcentral is "bacterial SSU rRNA". It matches the Rfam family "Bacterial small subunit ribosomal RNA". The record is from RNAcentral.
AGAGUUUGAUCCUGGCUCAGAGUGAACGCUGGCGGCGUGCUUAACACAUGCAAGUCGAACGGAGUAGCAAUACUUAGUGGCGCACGGGUGGGGAAUAUAUAGGUAACGUGCCCUUUAGAGGGGGAUAACAGUUGGAAACGACUGCUAAUACCCCAUACUCCUUCUUACUUAAUGUAAGUCGGGAAAGAUUUAUUGCUAAAGGAUUGGGCUAUACGGUAUCAGCUUGUUGGUGAGGAAAUGGCUCACCAAGGCUUUGACCCCUAUCUGGUCAGAGAGGAUGAUCAAGCACACUGUAACUGAGACACGGUCCAGACUCCUACGGGAGGCAGCAGUGGGGAAUAUUACACAAUGGAGGAAACUCUGAUGUAGCAACGCCGCGUGGAGGAUGACACAUUUCGGUGCGUAAACUCCUUUUAUUGGGGAAGAUAAUGACGGUACCUAAUGAAUAAGCACCGGCUAACUCCGUGCCAGCAGCCGCGGUAAUACGGAGGGUGCAAGCGUUACUCGGAAUCACUGGGCGUAAAGCGCAUGUAGGCGGUCUUGUAAGUUGGGUGUGAAAGCCUAUGGCUCAACCAUAGAAUUGCACCCAAAACUACUAGACUAGAGUCUGGGAGGGGAAGAUGGAAUUAGUGGUGUAGGGGUAAAAUCCGUAGAGAUCACUAGGAAUACCAAAAGCGAAGGCGGAUCUUCUGGAACAGUACUGACGCUGAGGCGCGAAAGCGUGGGUAGCAAACAGGAUUAGAUACCCUGGUAGUCCACGCCCUAAACGAUGAAUGUUAGUCGUCGGUUAGCUAGUCUAAUCGGUGAUGCACUUAACAGAUUAAAAAUUCCGCCCUGGGGAGUACGGUCGCAAGAUUAAAACUCAAAGGAAUAGACGGGGACCCGCACAAGUGGUGGAGCAUGUGGUUUAAUUCGAAGAUACGCGAAGAACCUUACCUGGCCUUGACAUUGAUAGAAUCCUGUAGAGAUACGGGAGUGCCCGUUUACUGGAGCUUGAAAACAGGUGCUGCACGGCUGUCGUCAGCUCGUGUCGUGAGAUGUUGGGUUAAGUCCCGCAACGAGCGCAACCCUCGUCCUUAGUUACUAACGGUUCGGCCGAGGACUCUAAGGAGACUGCCUUCGUAAGGAGGAGGAAGGUGAGGACGACGUCAAGUCAUCAUGGCCCUUACGGCUAGGGCGACACACGUGCUACAAUGGAUAGGACAAUGAGACGCAAUACCGCGAGGUGGAGCAAAUCUAUAAACCUAUUCUCAGUUCGGAUUGUAGUCUGCAACUCGACUACAUGAAGCUGGAAUCACUAGUAAUCGUAGAUCAGCCAUGCUACGGUGAAUACGUUCCCGGGUCUUGUACUCACCGCCCGUCACACCAUGGGAGUUGAUUUCACCCGAAGCGGGGAAGCUAACUUGGCUACCCUGCACGGUGGAAUCAGCGACUGGGGUGGAGUCGUAACAAGGUAACCAUAGGAGA